GACGAACGCUGGCGGCGUGCUUAACACAUGCAAGUCGAACGGAAAGGUCCUGCUUUUGUGGGGUGCUCGAGUGGCGAAGGGGUGAGUAACACGUGUGUACCCUGUCCUCGACUUUGGGAUAAAUUAAGGAAACUGGGGCUAAUACCGGAUAGGAGCUCCUGCUGCAUGGUGGGGGUUGGAAAGUUUCGGCGGUUGGUGAUGGACUCGCGGCUUAUCAGCUUGUUGGUGGGGUAGUGGAUUACCAAGGCUUUGCCGGGUAGCCGGCCGGAGAGGGUGACCGGCCACAUUGGGACUGAGAGACGGCCCAGACGCAACCGGACGCAGCGGAGGGGAGUAUUACACAAUGGGCGGAAGCCUGAUGCAGCAACGCCGCGUGCGGGAUGACGGCCUGCGGGUUGUAAACCGCUUUCGCCUGUGACGAAGCGAGAGUGACGGUAAUGGGUAAAGAAGCACCGGCUAACUACGUG
Molecule: ribosomal RNA, 467 nt
Filed under: uncultured bacterium
Lineage: Bacteria
Description: partial 16S ribosomal RNA
Rfam family: Bacterial small subunit ribosomal RNA
Source: RNAcentral